RNAcentral lists this small RNA (879 nucleotides) under Pongo abelii (Sumatran orangutan). RNAcentral describes it as "retained intron". Lineage: Eukaryota; Metazoa; Chordata; Mammalia; Primates; Hominidae. The record is from RNAcentral.
ACCCCUACUUGGCUUCCCUCUCUCACUCCCCUGCCCCCCCACUCCCAGAGGCCUCUGUGUCCAAGAAGAAACGCAUGUGUGUGAAGCUGUUGCCCCUGGGAGCCGCGGACACGGCUGUGUUUGAUGUCCGGCUGAGUGGGAAGACCAAGACAGUGCCUGGAUACCUUCGAAUAGGGGACAUGGGCGGCUUUGCUAUCUGGUGCAAGAAGGCCAAGGCCCCGAGGCCAGUGCCCAAGCCCCGAGGUCUCAGCCGGGACAUGCAGGGCCUCUCUCUGGAUGCAGCCAGCCAGCCAAGUAAGGGCGGCCUCCUGGAGCGGACACCGUCAAGGCUGGGCUCUCGGGCAUCCACUCUGCGGAGGAAUGACUCCAUCUACGAGGCCUCCAGCCUCUAUGGCAUCUCAGCCAUGGAUGGGGUUCCCUUCACACUCCACCCACGAUUUGAGGGCAAGAGCUGCAGCCCCCUGGCCUUCUCUGCAUUUGGGGACCUGACCAUCAAGUCUCUGGCGGACAUUGAGGAGGAGUAUAACUACGGCUUCGUGGUGGAGAAGACCGCGGCUGCCCGCCUGCCCCCCAGCGUCUCAUAGUCCCUCACCCGUUGGCGGAAAAAGCCCCCUUACGCCACCUCCCCGCCAGCCUGGGGCCACCCCGCCUCACUGCAUCCUGGGAACCUCUGCCCUGCAAGGCAUUUGCUAUCUUCAGCCAUUGGGCGGAGCUGCAGCCCUGGAGGGGCGGGUCGAGGCUGUGUGGUGAUGGGGUCUCCGUCCCCACGCCCUGCCGGGCAGGGCUGGAGCUGGACAGAAGCCAGUGCCUUUAAGCCAUUCGUGUCAAAACCCUCUGGGGUCCGGAGGCUGUGCGGGUGUCCUCCUGGCAAUAAACACU